Molecule: long non-coding RNA, 1119 nt
Filed under: Oryctolagus cuniculus (rabbit)
Lineage: Eukaryota; Metazoa; Chordata; Mammalia; Lagomorpha; Leporidae
Description: lncRNA (ENSOCUG00000038668.1)
Source: RNAcentral
GAUUGGGGAGGGGCAGGAGAGGAGGGAUGUAAACAAAGGCAAACUCCCUUAGUUUCCAUUCCAUUGCUCCCAAACUCCUUCAAACCCUUAGGGAGCACCGGCCAGCUCGCUAGGCUUGUGCUGGGUCUGGACUCCAUUUCCCAGAGUUCCUCGGCGCCUAGUGCGUGGGUGCACGUCGGAGCGCGCCUGCGCGCUGGUGGCUCCGCGUCCCGGGGCAGCGGAAGUUCACGCAGCGUUCAGAGCCGGGGCUGUUGCUCCACCCGCGCUCGCGGGGGUCUUUUGCUGUACACCUUCCAUUCCAGGCAGUUUGCGAGCGCAACACCCGGCCGGCCCCGCUGCUUCUCCUUCCGCUGCUGUCGCUGGGUCCGAGGCCACCCCCACGCGCCGGGGACUUUGCCUGCCCCUCACGCUCCGCCUUGCUGCACCUGCGUGUCCUGGAGCGCGCCGCCGGGCUCCCCGCCAAUUCCCCCGGCAAGUGCGGAGACCAGGGAGGGGCGUGGACGCGGGUGCGUGCGGGUGCGAGGGCGGCUGGCGGCUGGCGGCUGGCGGCUGGCGGCUCGGGGACCCGGCUCUGGGUGCGCUGCCCAGCGAGCCGGCGCCCCGAUCCGGGCUGUGGCGGCUCCGACCGCAGCCUUCCAGCCUCCCGGCGCCCCGCGGGCCCCGUGCGCUGCUUCCCUCCAACUUUCCGCCAUGCAUUUUGUUCUGGGCGAGCCUGGUAGGCGAGAGGACGGCGGAAGAAGGCAGCGGGACUCCCCUCGUCCAUAUUUUCAUAGAGCCCCGGUCCCACUUUGGCUUGGUGGAGAGAAUGCCCUCUGGCCGGGCUUCCUGGUCAACCCUGCGGCGGUUCCGGCGGCAGAGCGGGGCUGGUGGCCCCCAGCAAGGAGCCCGGGGCGGCGGGCAGAUGGCUCAGCCUCGCUGCCCCCACUCUGCACGCGCACAACCCGCAAGUGUGUUUCCCACGGCAGUGCUCGUGUCCUGCUACUGUGUGAAGAGCUGCCUAGAGACAGCUGUCGGCCCACCUGCUGAAGAAGCGUAUUGCAUGGAUGUUCAUCUGGGAGACGGCCGAGAAUAGGAUGUGUCAACUUGGCAGGUCAUUCCCUGUGCUCCUGGACUUGCUAG